Molecule: long non-coding RNA, 555 nt
Filed under: Homo sapiens (human)
Lineage: Eukaryota; Metazoa; Chordata; Mammalia; Primates; Hominidae
Description: non-protein coding lnc-TEX48-1:4
Source: RNAcentral
CAAAACCUGAUCUUGAAGAUCUUCUGUUUAUGCUGCAGGGACUGUCAGGAGCCCUAUGCCAUCAAUGACUCCAAGGUUCCCAGUCAAACCCAGGAGCACAAGCCAUCGACCCAAAAUUUGCUGCUUCAGAAGGAUGAGCUUGACAGACAAAAUCCCAAGCGCAUUAACGCAGUCUCCCAUUUGCCUUCGAGAACACCCCUGAUCCAGACAAAAAAGAGCACUUCCUCCAGCAGCAGUGAGUUUGAGGAUCUGAAUGCAUAUGCUUCCCAAAGAAAUUUUUACAAGAGAAACUUAAACCGCUACUGCCAGGAGCACUGGCCAUUCCAGCCAUGCCUCACUGGGAGGCCCUGAGCAUUCUAGCCGGCGGCUGCACAGCUGCUGGGGCAUCUCCAUGAGGAAGAGGGCGGUGGACAGGAGUCAUGAAGACUAAUUCGGAAACUCCCCUGAAGGAGGAGAAGACAUCUGAGCCAUCCUUGUGCCACCAAGCAAGAGUCACUCCAGCUCCUAAAAAGCCACCAUGGGAAGAGCUGCCUCCAAUUAAAGUUCUUGAUUGCA